This is a small nucleolar RNA of Octodon degus (degu), 101 nucleotides long. RefSeq annotates it as small nucleolar RNA U13. The record is from RefSeq and is a predicted model, not a curated record. The transcript has a single exon. NCBI's taxonomy places the organism in Eukaryota, Metazoa, Chordata, Mammalia, Rodentia, Octodontidae.
CGCCUUCAGUUCGCGAGGGUGACGAGUGGGUGUUCGUGUCGUAUACACGCGAUGUGCCUCCCUCAAACCUUGAUACUUGUGAGCACAUUACCCGUCUGACG